GACGAACGCUGGCGGCGUGCCUAAUACAUGCAAGUCGAACGAGAGCGACCGGUGCUUGCUCUGGUCAAUCUAGUGGCGAACGGGUGAGUAACACGUGGGUAACCUGCCCAUCAGAGGGGGAUAACAUUCGGAAACGGAUGCUAAAACCGCAUAGGUCUUCGAACCGCAUGGUUCGAAGGUGAAAAGAGGCGCAAGCUUCUGCUGAUGGAGGGACCCGCGGGGCAUUAGCUAGUUGGUGAGGUAACGGCUCACCAAGGCCGUGAUGCAUAGCCGACCUGAGAGGGUGAUCGGCCACACUGGGACUGAGACACGGCCCAAACUCCUACGGGAGGCAGCAGUAGGGAAUCUUCCGCAAUGGACGCAAGUCUGACGGAGCAACGCCGCGUGAGUGAAGAAGGUUUUCGGAUCGUAAAACUCUGUUGUUAGAGAAGAAUAAGUGCUAGAGUAACUGUUAGCGCCUUGACGGUAUCUAACCAGAAAGCCACGGCUAACUACGUG
RNAcentral lists this ribosomal RNA (498 nucleotides) under uncultured bacterium. Its description in RNAcentral is "partial 16S ribosomal RNA". It matches the Rfam family "Bacterial small subunit ribosomal RNA", at positions 28 to 507 of the family's 1533-position model. The record is from RNAcentral.